RNAcentral lists this ribosomal RNA (2897 nucleotides) under Streptococcus vestibularis F0396. RNAcentral's name for it is "bacterial LSU rRNA". It matches the Rfam family "Bacterial large subunit ribosomal RNA". Lineage: Bacteria; Bacillati; Bacillota; Bacilli; Lactobacillales; Streptococcaceae. The record is from RNAcentral.
GGUUAAGUUAAUAAGGGCGCACGGUGGAUGCCUUGGCACUAGAAGCCGAUGAGGGACGUGACUAACAACGAAAUGCUUUGGGGAGCUGUAAGUGAGCAAUGAUCCAGAGAUGUCCGAAUGGGGGAACCCGGCAGGUAAUGCCUGUCACUCAUUACUGUUAAGGUAAUGUAGAGGAAGACGCAGUGAACUGAAACAUCUAAGUAGCUGCAGGAAGAGAAAGCAAAAGCGAUUGCCUUAGUAGCGGCGAGCGAAACGGCAAGAGGGCAAACCGAAGAGUUUACUCUUCGGGGUUGUAGGACUGCAACGUGGACUUAAAGAUUAUAGAAGAACUACCUGGGAAGGUAGGCCAAAGGGAGUAAUAGCCUCGUAUUCGAAAUAGUCUUUAUACCUAGCAGUAUCCUGAGUACGGCGAGACACGAGAAAUCUCGUCGGAAUCUGGGAGGACCAUCUCCCAACCCUAAAUACUCUCUAGUGACCGAUAGUGAACCAGUACCGUGAGGGAAAGGUGAAAAGCACCCCGGGAGGGGAGUGAAAUAGAACCUGAAACCGUGUGCCUACAACAAGUUCAAGCCCGUUAAUGGGUGAGAGCGUGCCUUUUGUAGAAUGAACCGGCGAGUUACGAUAUGAUGCGAGGUUAAGUUGAAGAAACGGAGCCGUAGGGAAACCGAGUCUUAAUAGGGCGCAUUAGUAUCAUGUCGUAGACCCGAAACCAUGUGACCUACCCAUGAGCAGGUUGAAGGUGAGGUAAAACUCACUGGAGGACCGAACCAGGGCACGUUGAAAAGUGCUUGGAUGACUUGUGGGUAGCGGAGAAAUUCCAAACGAACUUGGAGAUAGCUGGUUCUCUCCGAAAUAGCUUUAGGGCUAGCGUCGAUGUUAAGUCUCUUGGAGGUAGAGCACUGUUUGGGUGAGGGGUCCAUCCCGGAUUACCAAUCUCAGAUAAACUCCGAAUGCCAAUGAGAUAUAAUCGGCAGUCAGACUGCGAGUGCUAAGAUCCGUAGUCGAAAGGGAAACAGCCAGACCACCAGCUAAGGUCCCAAAAUAUAUGUUAAGUGGAAAAGGAUGUGGGGUUGCACAGACAACUAGGAUGUUAGCUUAGAAGCAGCUAUUCAUUCAAAGAGUGCGUAAUAGCUCACUAGUCGAGUGACCCUGCGCCGAAAAUGUACCGGGGCUAAAACAUAUUACCGAAGCUGUGGAUACCUUUAUAGGUAUGGUAGGAGAGCGUUCUAUGUGCGAAGAAGGUGUACCGUGAGGAGUGCUGGAGCGCAUAGAAGUGAGAAUGCCGGUAUGAGUAGCGAAAGACAGGUGAGAAUCCUGUCCACCGUAAGACUAAGGUUUCCAGGGGAAGGCUCGUCCGCCCUGGGUAGUCGGGACCUAAGGAGAGACCGAAGGUGUAUCCGAUGGACAACAGGUUGAUAUUCCUGUACUAGAGUAUAUAGUGAUGGAGGGACGCAGUAGGCUAACUAAACCAGACGAUUGGAAGUGUCUGGCCAAGCAGUGAGGUGUGAUAUGAGUCAAAUGCUUAUAUCUCUAACAUUGAGCUGUGAUGGGGAGCGAAGUUUAGUAGCGAAGUUAGUGAUGUCACACUGCCGAGAAAAGCUUCUAGCGUUAAUUAUACUCUACCCGUACCGCAAACCGACACAGGUAGUCGAGGCGAGUAGCCUCAGGUGAGCGAGAGAACUCUCGUUAAGGAACUCGGCAAAAUGGCCCCGUAACUUCGGGAGAAGGGGCGCUGACUGAUGGUCAGCCGCAGUGAAUAGGCCCAAGCAACUGUUUAUCAAAAACACAGCUCUCUGCUAAGUCGUAAGAUGAUGUAUAGGGGGUGACGCCUGCCCGGUGCUGGAAGGUUAAGAGGAGUGCUUAGCGUAAGCGAAGGUAUGAAUUGAAGCCCCAGUAAACGGCGGCCGUAACUAUAACGGUCCUAAGGUAGCGAAAUUCCUUGUCGGGUAAGUUCCGACCCGCACGAAAGGCGUAAUGAUUUGGGCACUGUCUCAACGAGAGACUCGGUGAAAUUUUAGUACCUGUGAAGAUGCAGGUUACCCGCGACAGGACGGAAAGACCCCAUGGAGCUUUACUGCAGUUUGAUAUUGAGUAUCUGUACCACAUGUACAGGAUAGGUAGGAGCCUAUGACCUCGGGACGCCAGUUUCGAGUGAGGCGUUGUUGGGAUACUACCCUUGUGUUAUGGCUACUCUAACCCAGAUAGGUUAUCCCUAUCGGAGACAGUGUCUGACGGGCAGUUUGACUGGGGCGGUCGCCUCCUAAAAGGUAACGGAGGCGCCCAAAGGUUCCCUCAGAAUGGUUGGAAAUCAUUCGCAGAGUGUAAAGGUAUAAGGGAGCUUGACUGCGAGAGCUACAACUCGAGCAGGGACGAAAGUCGGGCUUAGUGAUCCGGUGGUUCCGUAUGGAAGGGCCAUCGCUCAACGGAUAAAAGCUACCCUGGGGAUAACAGGCUUAUCUCCCCCAAGAGUUCACAUCGACGGGGAGGUUUGGCACCUCGAUGUCGGCUCGUCGCAUCCUGGGGCUGUAGUCGGUCCCAAGGGUUGGGCUGUUCGCCCAUUAAAGCGGCACGCGAGCUGGGUUCAGAACGUCGUGAGACAGUUCGGUCCCUAUCCGUCGCGGGCGUAGGAAAUUUGAGAGGAUCUGCUCCUAGUACGAGAGGACCAGAGUGGACUUACCGCUGGUGUACCAGUUGUUCUGCCUAGAGCAUCGCUGGGUAGCUAUGUAGGGAAGGGAUAAACGCUGAAAGCAUCUAAGUGUGAAGCCCACCUCAAGAUGAGAUUUCCCAUGAUUUUAUAUCAGUAAGAGCCCUGAGAGAUGAUCAGGUUGAUAGGUUAGAAGUGGAAGUGUGGUGACACAUGUAGCGGACUAAUACUAAUAGCUCGAGGACUUAUCCAA